AUAAAGUCACUGGGCGCAAGUUCAGUGAUGAAAGGAGGCCUCUGCAUAGCAAGCUUCUGCCUGAGGAGGGGCUCGCGGCCCAUCAGCUUGUCGGUGGGGUAAUGGCCCACUAAGGCUAUGACGGGUAGCCGGCCUGAGAGGGUGGUCGGCCACACGGGCACUGAGACACGGGCCCGACUCCUACGGGAGGCAGCAGUGGGGAAUCUUGGGCAAUGGGCGAAAGCCUGACCCAGCGACGCCGCGUGGGGGACGAAGGCCUUCGGGUCGUAAACCCCUGUUCUGGGGGAAGAACCCUGAGCGGGUUAAGAGCCCGUUCAGGCUGACGGUACCCCAGGAGCAAGCCACGGCUAACUGCGUGCCAGCAGCCGCGGUAAUACGCAGGUGGCGAGCGUUGCCCGGAAUCACUGGGCGUAAAGGGUGCGUAGGCGGCAGGGUAAGUCGCAGGUUAAAGCCCGGGGCUCAACCCCGGAAAGGCCUGCGAUACUGCCUUGCUUGAGGGCCGGAGAGGCUGGCGGAAUUCCCGGUGUAGGGGUGAAAUCCGUAGAUAUCGGGAGGAACACCGGUGGGGAAGCCGGCCAGCUGGACGGUCCCUGACGCUGAGGCACGAAAGCGUGGGGAGCAAACCGGAUUAGAUACCCGGGUAGUCCACGCCGUAAACGAUGGGUGCUAGGUCUGGGGAGGAA
RNAcentral lists this ribosomal RNA (683 nucleotides) under uncultured bacterium. RNAcentral describes it as "bacterial SSU rRNA". It matches the Rfam family "Bacterial small subunit ribosomal RNA", at positions 173 to 832 of the family's 1533-position model. The record is from RNAcentral.